UUGGGGCCCGGCUCCUGGCUGCUCCUGCCUGAAGCCACGAAGCGGGGGCAGCGCAGGGCAGGGCCCGGGGGAGCGGCGCCGAGCCCCCCGCCUCUGGCCGGCGCUCAUUAGCGAGCACCCAGCUCUCCCCCUCUUCCUCCGGCUGCGGUGAGCGCGGAGGGGGCUGUGCCUCGCCUCUCCAAAUUUAGCAAGGGCCCGCACGACAGAGGCUUCCUGUCAAUGAAGCCGGUUCCAGCGCCGCCGCUGAAUCAUAGCAGUCGCGAGGCGCCCCGGCCAGCAGGCUCCCCCAUGCUGCGGCCGGAGUGAAGGGCCGGCAAUGCGGGGAGAGACCAGCCCGGUGCCGCGCUGGAGGGAGGCGGACUUGGACUUGGAGGCGCGAUGCACCUUCGUCGGGAAGGACCAGCCCCCCGCCUGGCCCCACCUCCCGCGAGCGCAGGCCUCCCUGGGCUGGGCCCUGGCCUUCCCGCGCAGCCACCCCAGUGAGGUCUACACCCUGGGGGGGCAGCUGCCCCAUGUCCUGGGCACCCGCGACCUGCGCCACCACGACUGGAUGCGCUGUGUCUACCCUGCCGCGGGCACCACCGCCCAGAGCCCGGCGGCCUGCCAGCACGAGCGGGCCAUCUACUUCUACACGCUGGCACCCAUCCUGCCCGGCGCCGAGCUGCUCGCGUGGCCCGGCCGCGAGGUCGCCCAGCGCCUGCAGCGCCCGGCGCUGGCUGCAAAGCUUGAGCCCCAGGGGGUGGGCAAGCCCUGCCUGGAGCCGGGCGCGGAGCAGCUGGCGUCGGCGGGCACCCCGGCCUGCCACGACCUCACCGCCAAGCCCACGAAAGAGGAGGAAGAGAGGCGUACAGACGGCCGAGGGCCGGGCAGGGGCACGGGAGGCCGUGCCGUCUGGCCGUGGCCCCCGGUGUCCCACGAUGCGGCUGGAGAAGCGGCUGGUCCCGCGUGCCGAAGAGACGGGGAUGNNNNNNNNNNNCGAGGCGGGGGGGGGGGGCAGACCUCUUCCUCCUGAAGCCUCUCCAGACCCAGCUCAGAAGACACCGGGGCUCGGGGGGAGCACAGGGC
RNAcentral lists this long non-coding RNA (1065 nucleotides) under Crocodylus porosus (Australian saltwater crocodile). Its description in RNAcentral is "lncRNA (ENSCPRG00005004216.1)". The record is from RNAcentral. Lineage: Eukaryota; Metazoa; Chordata; Crocodylia; Crocodylidae.